This is a non-coding RNA of Pelobates cultripes (western spadefoot toad), 157 nucleotides long. NCBI's taxonomy places the organism in Eukaryota, Metazoa, Chordata, Amphibia, Anura, Pelobatidae. The record is from the annotation of a GenBank genome assembly.
GCAGACACAUUCCAACCAAUCAGCAGCAGACCCUCCCUCCCAGACCCUCCCACCUCCUGGACAGAUUCCAUUUUGAAGCUGCAUUCUUAGUGAGCUGCCCAGGAGGUGGGAGGGUCUGGGAGGGAGGGUCUGCUGCUGAUUGGCUGGAAUGUGUCUG